UGGGGAAUUUUGGACAAUGGGCGCAAGCCUGAUCCAGCAAUGCCGCGUGCAGGAAGAAGGCCUUCGGGUUGUAAACUGCUUUUGUACGGAACGAAACGGUCUGGGUUAAUACCCUGGGCUAAUGACGGUACCGUAAGAAUAAGCACCGGCUAACUACGUGCCAGCAGCCGCGGUAAUACGUAGGGUGCAAGCGUUAAUCGGAAUUACUGGGCGUAAAGCGUGCGCAGGCGGUUUUGUAAGACAGGCGUGAAAUCCCCGGGCUCAACCUGGGAAUGGCGCUUGUGACUGCAAAGCUGGAGUGCGGCAGAGGGGGAUGGAAUUCCGCGUGUAGCAGUGAAAUGCGUAGAUAUGCGGAGGAACACCGAUGGCGAAGGCAAUCCCCUGGGCCUGCACUGACGCUCAUGCACGAAAGCGUGGGGAGCAAACAGGAUUAGAUACCCUGGUAGUCCACGCCCUAAACGAUGUCAACUGGUUGUUGGGUCUCUUCUGACUCAGUAACGAAGCUAACGCGUGAAGUUGACCGCCUGGGGAGUACGGCCGCAAGGUUG
Molecule: ribosomal RNA, 548 nt
Filed under: uncultured Pseudomonadota bacterium
Lineage: Bacteria; Pseudomonadati; Pseudomonadota
Description: bacterial SSU rRNA
Rfam family: Bacterial small subunit ribosomal RNA
Source: RNAcentral